UGGGGAAUUUUGGACAAUGGGCGAAAGCCUGAUCCAGCAAUGCCGCGUGUGUGAAGAAGGCCUUCGGGUUGUAAAGCACUUUUGUCCGGAAAGAAAUCCUUGGCUCUAAUACAGUCGGGGGAUGACGGUACCGGAAGAAUAAGCACCGGCUAACUACGUGCCAGCAGCCGCGGUAAUACGUAGGGUGCAAGCGUUAAUCGGAAUUACUGGGCGUAAAGCGUGCGCAGGCGGUUUGCUAAGACCGAUGUGAAAUCCCCGGGCUCAACCUGGGAACUGCAUUGGUGACUGGCAGGCUAGAGUAUGGCAGAGGGGGGUAGAAUUCCACGUGUAGCAGUGAAAUGCGUAGAGAUGUGGAGGAAUACCGAUGGCGAAGGCAGCCCCCUGGGCCAAUACUGACGCUCAUGCACGAAAGCGUGGGGAGCAAACAGGAUUAGAUACCCUGGUAGUCCACGCCCUAAACGAUGUCAACUAGUUGUUGGGGAUUCAUUUCCUUAGUAACGUAGCUAACGCGUGAAGUUGACCGGCCUGGGGAGUACGGUCGCAAGGUUAAAACUCAAAGGAAUUGACGGGGUCAUAGCUGUUUCCU
This 586-nucleotide ribosomal RNA is filed under the name uncultured bacterium. RNAcentral describes it as "partial 16S ribosomal RNA". It matches the Rfam family "Bacterial small subunit ribosomal RNA", at positions 355 to 1375 of the family's 1533-position model. The record is from RNAcentral.